CGCGCCCUGCGCGGUUAGACAGUCACCUUUUUUUAACCCACAAUUAGUUUACGGGACUCCGGAUGUUCCUGGCGCCGAGUGCAGGCCUCCCGCUGCGGCGGAAGUUGGAAGCACAGAAGCGCCGGACAGGAGACCCACCUGCCAGGAGCUGUGCAGGUUACUAAUCUGGUGACAUCGGCCGUGCGGGGUUUCU
Molecule: non-coding RNA, 193 nt
Filed under: Eubacteriales bacterium
Lineage: Bacteria; Bacillati; Bacillota; Clostridia; Eubacteriales
Description: 6S RNA
Rfam family: 6S / SsrS RNA
About the family: E. coli 6S RNA was the first non coding RNA to be sequenced, but its function was unknown until recently.
Source: RNAcentral